Molecule: RNA transcript, 4010 nt
Organism: Manduca sexta (tobacco hornworm)
Lineage: Eukaryota; Metazoa; Arthropoda; Insecta; Lepidoptera; Sphingidae
Exons: 7
Source: RefSeq, a predicted model, not a curated record
CAACAAGAGCUAGUAAGAAAGAGAAACUAUUGAUAAGAUAAUCAACUACAUUUGAAAACGUGAUAUUUAUACGCGCCUGUGUGUAGUGUGUGUGUUAAUAAAAAUAUCCAUAUAUAUGUAUACAAUACAUACCUACGCAUUUAUCUACGAAAGUUCUAAGUACUGUACGAUUUAUUUACGUUUUUGUGUAUUUUUGUAUUGUUUUGAACAAAUAAAACAACAAUUUUCACAUACGAUGGCUCUCUGUGCUUGUAAAUGUCUGAAUGUAACGUUAGAAAGUGAUACAUUUGAAGAUAAUGUAGAUAUUGGAAAACUGGAGCUCACAUCCACCGAACAAAGGGAUAUUUUUUUCAGUGAGAAGCUGUUAUCAUGUCCUGCCAAUGGUGUCAAAAGACAGGUGGUACAGCAAGCUUUAGCUGGGACCCAUGUAGUAGGUCGCUGGACCAUACACACUUGUCUUGCUUGUGAUCAGAUCACCCAUGCCAUUCUGCAGGAUAAAAAUGCUCUCUCUGUUAUGCUGAUUCCCAAGACUCUUCAAACAUCAUCUGACCGGGUUAAUUACUUAAAGAAGUCACAUAAUUUCUCACCAGUAUUCAACUUGUUAGUGCCAGAAGUAACAAAUGACAUAGAAAUGAAAGAGAAUGUGGACACUAACAAUUUCAUGGUUAGUGAAAAGAAGAGAUGGCCACCAAGCCACCAGGUCAUUGGAACCCUCAGCAAGCAGCUGAACCAAACCCUGCAGUCACAACUGGAAGCUGUUGAGGAAACUGUUAGGCAAUUUCGAUCAGAAGUAUGCAGAAUUUGAAGCAUACAGGAAAGAGCACAAAGGGAUCACAAAAUAUUAGCUAGUAUCAUAAGUAAGGCGCAAAAUAAUGGUGAAAAUGACUGGAGAGUGGACACAAGCUUGGACAAUGGUCCUCCCUCCCCUCAACUACCUCCACUACAGAGAAGAAGACUGUCCUCACUUAAAGAUGCCAAAAAAGCCCAAAAUAUUAUUAAGCCAAAUAAAACUAUACCUGCAGAAGAAGAUUCGUUGGAUGCGGAAGAUCUGUUUGACUUAGAAGCGAACGAUUCGCGUCAUAACAUGGCUUCUGAUCAGGACGACUAUGAUUCUGAUCAAGGCAGCAACGACGAGGGCAUCCACAUAUCGCGGCUGCGGUGGCGGCGCGCCCGACAUCGCGCGCUCGUUGCCCAUGAACAUGCCCAAGUUCCCCAACGAUCGUCCCUCUCUGCGCGAUUUGGACGACGACGAGGAGCCGGCGGACAUCGCGGCGAGCAUCAAGGCGCUGGCGCGGUCGGUGCACGGCGACGUGUUCGAGCUGCCGCGGCCGCGCUUCUCGACGCAGAUCUAGCGCGCGGCGCCUCCGUAAGGACGAACCUUAGCGCAGCUCUCAAUUCCGUGUCCGAACGUUCUCACUGGCCGCGUCUCCUCUCCUGCGAGACGCUUUUGACAUUUGAAUUUCUAUCGUGAAUCUUCUUGCCCGAUUCUGUUGUGAUCUUUAUGCACGGAAUUAAAAUCUGCAUUAUUAUACUGAAAGGGUUGACUGCUUUAUAAUUUUAAAUAUAACGAUACGAUAUACGUCUAGUUGUGUAAGUUACAUCAGUGUGCUUGAAUUUUAAAUGAUUUGAACACUAGCCAUCUAUUGGUGCUCUCAGAUUGUGAUCGCGGUGACCCUAAUUGCAAAUUACACGGAAACGCGAAUUAUUUUAGUGAAUAUUUGUAAAGACCGAUGAUGCAAUCAUUUUCUGGAAUGCGAUACGAUUUUUUCCUUACAUUGUAAUAACAUUUUCGUUAUUCAUAUAAGGGCAAUGCUUAUUUAUGUAUUAUGGCGUGGUUGUUAUGCAAACAUUAAAGUGAAAUUUCCAGACAGUAGUAACUAAACCUAUCAAUGCAAUAGUCAGAGAUUUGUGCUUACAGUGUAAUUUAUGCAUAUAAAAUUUUAAAUUACUUUUAACAUGUAAAAACAAUAGUGAUUUUUAAAUACUAGUAUUGUCAGUAAGUUUCUAUGAAAAAUUUAAACAAAUCAUGCACUCAACAUUUCAUAAGCAGCCUAAAUAGUACCUUGAAAUCGACUUCCAUUUAUUUAUAUUGUAAUUUUCUUUAAGUAUGUACAGCACGACUAUCUUAAAAUAUAUAUCAAACUAAAUCUUAAAAGCACAUAAUAUCGUUUACAUUUAAUUGAAAAAGAUAUAAAUCGAUGGGUACUCCCAAUCAAUGGCAAAGGGUGAAAUGUUUCGAAAUCGUUCUAAAGAUAAUUAGAUUUUACAUUAAUUACGAGAGUGGAACCGACAGGAAUCAGGUUAUAUGGACACUUAGCACUGCACCCAUUACACAUUUCUAUCCAUAACGAACAAUAUUGUUGACUCUAACAAUGCAUCUACAAUUCCUUUAGAAUUGUAGAUACCUAUUCAUGUCAAUGAUGAUAUUUAAAAUAAUUUAAAACCAUUUUUAUUUUUUUACUGUUAGUAUUUCUGACUGCCUCAGUGGCGUAGUUGUACUGCAUGAGCGGUACGGCAGCGCUCUGAGGUUCUGGGUUGAAAUCCCGGGUCGGGCAAAGAUGUUCGGGUUUUUGUGUCCGAUAUGGUGAUAGGCUUGCCUCCUAUUACUCUUGGCGAAAACUGGGUGCCCUGGUUGCGCCUCUGCAUACCCCAUCGGGGAUAAAUGCGUAAUGUAUGUUUUGUAUGUCUGUUGAAGGCUUAAUUCUAUCUUUUCUAGUUGUAUUUAAAUCAAAAGACUGGUUAACAGUGAACUGACUGUAUACAGAUGUAUGAUAGUAGUCAUAUGAAUGUUUGCAUAAUUACCGCGCUAAAAAUAUGCCAUAUUUAAGCAUUUUCUAUGCCACGCUUCAGUUAUUUGCCAGUAAAUAAAGUGGAUGAAACGAACGGGAGGCUAAACGUGUAUAAAAUAUAUAACGCAUAUUAUGCUAAAUGUACCAAUCGAAAUUGUUUGCCCGUAUUCAGAGGAAUAUUAAAAAUAAAAAAAAACGCUUGUGUACGUUUGUCAUUUAAAACUAUUACCUUGUUUUAUAACAAGUAUUAGAAUAGUGUAUGAUGCAUACUGUUAUGGUAAAAUUAAAAUAAUUCCGUCAAUUAAGGAAACAAUUGGUUCUACUCAUCUACUGAUUGAUGGACACAGAUUAAUAUAUGUUGCCAUAAUAAUAAUAUGCCGAUGAAUGAUGGUGCAGUGUGUGUUGCGCACUGCGCAGUGAGUGUAGAGCCAGAGUACUCUAUGGCGAGUGUCUUGACGUCAGUUGCUUUUGUUAAAUGUGUGUACAUAAAAUUAUUUAGAUGACAAGUAUAUGAUUACGGAUUGUUAACAUCUAAGUCAUAUCCCCGUUAAUAGAUUUUCUAUCAUUUUUAUCUGGUGUUAUCUUAAUGGUAAGUGAAAAGUGUACAAAACUAUAAAAAAACUUGCAUUUCUUACUAGUCUCUUAGGGUCACGAAUUAUUUCUGGUGAUUAAAUUAGUUUCAGUUUUAAGUAGUACAUAAUAUAUUAAAUUAUGAUAUAAAUUUAAAAAAAUAAUCAAUUCAUAUGGAAUCAUGAAGAUGUACAUAAAUAGUUAAGAUCAUUGUUAUUGAUUUUGAUGACGACUCAAUGAAAACUUUUGAAAUACAUUUAUUUUUAUACCCAACAUUUUGAAUGUUUACGUGGGGCGAUGCAGCGGCAUUCGGUGAGGCUCAGGAGUAGGAUUCGGUGACAAAUGACGAUGUAAUUGGAUGUUCUAUUGUUUUGUAUACUGUAGUAGUCUUAAAUCUUAUUGCUAUAUUUUUUAAAGUUAGUUUAUGAAUAUGUUUUCUUGUGUGCGUGUGUCCAUGUCAGUGUCUUCCAUCAACACUGUUCUUGUCAAACAGAAGAGUGAUUUAUUUUCUAUGUGAUGUCAUUUGUUUCAGUCAGUUAUGUUUAAUUAGGUUUUACUAAUAAAUUGUUUCAUUGGCGUGACAAAAAUGAGAUGGACCUUGAAUGUAUUGAAUUUAGAGAUCAAGUAAUAAAUAUAGAACGUGAAUCUUAA